Molecule: unclassified non-coding RNA, 391 nt
Filed under: soil metagenome
Description: partial contains 5.8S ribosomal RNA, internal transcribed spacer 2, and large subunit ribosomal RNA
Rfam family: 5.8S ribosomal RNA (bases 1-122)
Source: RNAcentral
GAUGAAGAACGUAGCAAAAUGCGAUACUUGGUGUGAAUUGCAGAAUCCCGUGAACCAUCGAGUCUUUGAACGCAAGUUGCGCCCGAAGCCACUAGGCCGAGGGCACGCCUGCCUGGGCGUCACACGUCGUUGCCCCCCCCAUCUACUCCUUCGGGAUUGCGGGGGGCGGAUGAUGGCCUCCCGUGCGCCUAGCCGCGCGGUUGGCAUAAAUACCAAGUCCUCGGCGACGCACGCCACGACAAUCGGUGGUUGCGAAACCUCGGUUGCCCGUCGUGUGCGUUCGUCGCGCAUCGAGGGCUCGAAAAAAUGCUCGGCUCCGGCUCGGCUUUCAACGCGACCCCAGGUCAGGCGGGGUUACCCGCUGAAUUUAAGCAUAUCAAUAAGCGGAGGA